UUUCCGUGUUUUUUCGUGAUCGUAUAACGAAUUCCUGUUUUCAAGUGAUUAUCAUGUAUUGGUUACUCAACUGUUUUUUCCUAUUUUUAAACCAUUGUUGCUUCGGCAUUGGUUGCGCCUAGUAGGCGUGGUUAUGCUGAAGUAUCGAGACUCGCGCGUUCGGAGAGAAUAACGCGAGAUCCGCUGUGGCAAUUGAGGAAGGUACAUGUGCUGUCUUUAUAAAGUUUGUAAUAUCACAGAUUGAUGGCAUAACCAGUGAAUAAAUAACAGAGUGAUGAGCGAAGAGAAGUUUUCGGGUUGGAUUGACUACAGGUGGUGUAUGAUUGCAUCCGAGUUCGCGGAUAUAUGACGAGCCUCAAUGUGCCUCAAUAAAGAUUAACCACAUCACACACCGACAUACAUAAAAAUCCCGGGUGUCACGAGCAACCACAGAAUAUCAUCGCAAUGAACUCCAAUCCCUUCAUUAAUAAAGCAAUGCGUCUGAGGAACACCUGUUCAACACGUGAGGAUUUCCACCAUACUGAGGAGCAUCUCCAUUUCAACACAAUGGGUUACAUCAAGUAGACAUUCCCUGAAACUAUUGGGACUUUGCUAUUAAUCACUGAUCUUGCUUUUUUUAUUCAUUACCAGAUCUCCAAUUAAUAUUUUUUUUAUCUAACUUUGUUAUUUCUUUAUUAAUGUUAAUGUUGUUAUGCAGGAUUACACUUUGUUUUGUUCAUUUAUUUGAAUGCUUUAUUAUGCUCAAUGAUUCAUAUUUUAAAUACACUGAUACACUUGAUAAAUUGUACAUUGUGACUCUUGCUCUUUACUGUCCUCGUGGUCCCUGGGCAUUGGUUAUUUGCCCUAAGGUGAUUUUUACGGGAAUAUUAAGUAGUGCAUUGUACAGUCUGCCAGACACAUAUAUUUUUUUGAAAAUAAUUUUAUAAUCACUGUUUUAUGUAUGAUUUGAAUUAGUGUUCUAAAGUUAAGAUCAUGGUAACACACUAGUAAGUACUUUAGAAUUAUGUAGUAACACUUGAGUCAUUAGUAGUGGGUUACCAUGAUCUUCACUUUAGAAUACUGAUCCCAAAAAAUAGUAAUUACUUUAGAAUGAUGUAGUAACACUUGAGUCAUUACUAGUUGGUUACCAUGAUCUUCACUUUAGAAUACUGAUCCCAAAUAAUAGUAAUUAAUCUAGAAUGAUGUAGUAACACUUGAGUCAUUACUAGUUGGUUACCAUGAUCUUCACUUUAGAAUACUGAUCCCAAAAAAUAGUAAUUACUUUAGAAUGAUGUAGUAACACUUGAGUCAUUACUAGCGGGUUACCAUGAUCUUCACUUUAGAAUACUGAUCCCCAAAAUUAGUAAUUACUUUAGAAGGAUGUAGUAACACUUGAGUCAUUACUAGUGGGUUACCGUUAUUCAUAUAGU
Molecule: non-coding RNA, 1409 nt
Organism: Misgurnus anguillicaudatus (oriental weatherfish)
Lineage: Eukaryota; Metazoa; Chordata; Actinopteri; Cypriniformes; Cobitidae
Source: RefSeq, a predicted model, not a curated record